Molecule: long non-coding RNA, 686 nt
Filed under: Homo sapiens (human)
Lineage: Eukaryota; Metazoa; Chordata; Mammalia; Primates; Hominidae
Description: HSALNT0129110
Source: RNAcentral
AGGAUAACUAAACUUUUCUGCCAACUACUAUUCCCACUGCUCCAACCUCACACUGCAGCUAAUCCACUCCCUACAAGGAUGGUCGAGAUUUUCCUCCACUUAAAUGAAUUCCCUCCCUGGCUUCCACACUGCCCUCAGGAUGAAAACCCAAGUUCCUCUCAGCUUAGUUUAGAAAGCUCUUCACCAGGUCAUUUCAAAGCCUUAGAAACUGGCCUCAACAGUAACUGCAGGAAGCAUACUUGUCAGAUCUGAGCAAUAAAAAUACACCCUGACUGCUGAGCCUGGAGCACGGGAGAGCCUACAGCUAACCAGGGAAGACAUGCUUUAGAUAAAGUCCUUCCAACAUCUUGCAACCUGGAUAACAGCCAAGUCCUAUUCAUCCCUCUCAACCUGGCUCUUCCAUGCCCUCCUGCAAGGCCUUCCCCAGCCCUUCUCUGUGGAUGCCCCUCCUCCGUUUUGAAGCAGACUGGAUACCAGCCCCACCCCGCCGCCAUGCUUCUUUUAUCCUUGCAGAAAGCCUAUCUCCACCGGACUGUGACAACUUCAUGAGGGUGUAGAGCUCAUGCCUGUUUGAUUAGUCCCUUAACCACCACUGUUCCCAGCACCUGAGCUUCGUCCUUGGCACCUUGUGAACCUACAAUAAAUAUUUGUUAAAUGAAUGAAUAAAAGACUGAGAAGCGGGGGCA